This 251-nucleotide ribosomal RNA is filed under the name uncultured bacterium. Its description in RNAcentral is "partial 16S ribosomal RNA". It matches the Rfam family "Bacterial small subunit ribosomal RNA", at positions 524 to 776 of the family's 1533-position model. The record is from RNAcentral.
UACGAAGGGGGCUAGCGUUGCUCGGAAUCACUGGGCGUAAAGGGUGCGUAGGCGGGUCUUUAAGUCAGGGGUGAAAUCCUGGAGCUCAACUCCAGAACUGCCUUUGAUACUGAAGAUCUUGAGUUCGGGAGAGGUGAGUGGAACUGCGAGUGUAGAGGUGAAAUUCGUAGAUAUUCGCAAGAACACCAGGCGAAGGCGGCUCACUGGCCCGAUACUGACGCUGAGGCACGAAAGCGUGGGGAGCAAACAGG